UACGUAGGGACCAAGCGUUGUCCGGAAUUACUGGGCGUAAAGCGCGUGCAGGCGGAUGGGGAUGUGCCAUGUGAAAGCGCCGUGUUCAACGCGGCGAGGCCACGGUAAACACUUCAUCUGGAGGCUCCGAGAGGGUGGUAGAAUUCCCGGUGUAGUGGUGAAAUGCGUAGAGAUCGGGAGGAAUACCAAUGGCGAAGGCAGCCACCUGGCGGAGACCUGACGCUGAGACGCGACGGCGUGGGGAGCAAAC
RNAcentral lists this ribosomal RNA (250 nucleotides) under uncultured bacterium. RNAcentral describes it as "partial 16S ribosomal RNA". It matches the Rfam family "Bacterial small subunit ribosomal RNA", at positions 524 to 773 of the family's 1533-position model. The record is from RNAcentral.